This 253-nucleotide ribosomal RNA is filed under the name uncultured bacterium. RNAcentral describes it as "partial 16S ribosomal RNA". It matches the Rfam family "Bacterial small subunit ribosomal RNA", at positions 524 to 776 of the family's 1533-position model. The record is from RNAcentral.
UACGUAGGGGGCAAGCGUUGUCCGGAAUUAUUGGGCGUAAAGAGCGUGUAGGCGGUCCGGUAAGUCGGCUGUGAAAGUCCAGGGCUCAACCUCGAGAUGUCGGCGGAAACCAUUUGGCUAGAGUCCGGAAGAGGAAAGUGGAAUUCCUGGUGUAGCGGUGAAAUGCGCAGAUAUCAGGAAGAACACCCGUGGCGAAGGCGGCUCUCUGGGACGGUACUGACGCUGAGACGCGAAAGCGUGGGGAGCGAACAGG